RNAcentral lists this transfer RNA (75 nucleotides) under Bos taurus (domestic cattle). It matches the Rfam family "tRNA". From Rfam's summary of the family: Transfer RNA (tRNA) molecules are approximately 80 nucleotides in length. The record is from Rfam by way of RNAcentral. RNAcentral also lists the same sequence under 2 other names. Lineage: Eukaryota; Metazoa; Chordata; Mammalia; Artiodactyla; Bovidae.
UCCCUGGUAGCUCCAGAUGGUAAAGUGUCUGCCUGAAAUGCAGAUAGAACCCGGGUUCGAUCCCCGGGUUGGGAA